GCUUCUCUGAGCAGCAUUCCUUCCCUCUGGGUAUGGGGCAGGAACCUUUCCAGAAUGGGAGUCUUAUAACCUAUCAUCAAACAAGGUAGGUCAGAGAAUUUCUUUCUGGCCAUUUUUACAUGGAUAGGGCUAAGGGAAGGUUAGAUUAAUAUUGUUAGUUUUAUAGCUGUCUUUGGAGAAAAGGAGUUCAGGUUUCUAUGACCUGCCUUGGAGAAGAGUGUUUCUCAUUUCUAUGGCUAGCCUUGGGGAAGAAUGGGAUGGAGAGAAAGGAGGGCAGGAAGAGGUCAGAGAAAAACCUUUUGCUUCUGAAGGUAUUGCAGAGGCCUUCAUUUUGGGAUAUUGUUUUCUGAGCCCCAACACUCUGAAUGGUAGACCUAAGAAGGACAAAAACAAGUUCUAGGUCAGAAAAUACGUCCUUGCUAUUGUAUUUGUUGGAAUCCAAAAUAUGCCUCUCCAAAAUAUACUUUUUUGGUAUAUUUCAAGUUGUUUAUUCAGAGAAGCUGAAUAGAUUUGAAAAGCUAUUGCUUUGUUAAAAGAAAAAAUGUAUGUUUAUCUACAUUAGUAAAGCAAACAGGAGAUACAAACAGAGGCUUUCUCUGAGGUCACCUUAUCCAGAUCUAGGAAAGAUGAACUCACAGAAAAAGGAGACUUAAGUCUGACAUUUUGAAGUUCUGACAGAGAAACUGUUAACCACAAGCUGCCUUCUAUUCACUCUGAGGACUGCUACCUGUGAGACUUCAUCUGCAUAACAAGACAGCCUUUGCUCUCCAUGUGUUUCCUCCCCCCACCCUCCCACAACCCAUCCCCAGGCUCCCCAGGAGCCCUAAGUCCUUAUUCUACUCUGUAUGGUAUACAACUUAGUCAUCUGGCCCUUCUUUGAGUCUCAUAUUUUGUGUAGUUACUCUACACAUGCAUAUGUAAUAAACUUGUAUACCUUUUCUCCUGUUA
This 948-nucleotide long non-coding RNA is filed under the name Homo sapiens (human). RNAcentral describes it as "HSALNT0372125". The record is from RNAcentral. Lineage: Eukaryota; Metazoa; Chordata; Mammalia; Primates; Hominidae.